UGGACGGANCACCCGACGUCCGGUCGGCGUGUCCGUUCCAGCUCGCGCACUCGCGCCGCUCGGCCUAGACGGACCGGCGGCAGCGCGCACGAGAGAUCGCUGCGAUGUCGUCGGCGAGGAAACCCGCUGAACUUAAGCAUAUCAUUAAGCGG
RNAcentral lists this ribosomal RNA (152 nucleotides) under Halimeda goreaui. Its description in RNAcentral is "partial 28S ribosomal RNA". The record is from RNAcentral. Lineage: Eukaryota; Viridiplantae; Chlorophyta; Ulvophyceae; Bryopsidales; Halimedaceae.